GGGGACUGAAGGGCAAGAAGCCGUGCGUGGUGCCCCUUAAUCCGAGUGCCACCCUUUCCAGGAUGCUGACUGCACACCCCAGAAUCAGUGCUUCUUGUGGCUUGAAGAGGUCUCCCAGAGACUCACCAUUUGUGAGACUGUGGGGGAGUCUGCGGAGCCACUGGGAGGUGGAGAUUUUCUUGGAAGAAGCGGAUCUUGGAAGAGGGGCCUGGAACCACUUCCUGUCCCUGUUUGCUGUGUACAGAUGCAAUGUGACACUUCCUGUCCCUGUCUGCUGUGUACAGAUGCAAUGUGACCACUUCCUGUCCCCGUCUGCUGUGUCCAGAUGCAAUGUGACCACUUCCUGUCCCUGUCUGCUGUGUACAGAUGCAAUGUGACACUUCCUGUCCCUGUCUGCUGUGUACAGAUGCAAUGUGACCACUUCCUGUCCCUGUCUGCUGUGUACAGAUGCAAUGUGACCACUUCCUGUCCCUGUCUGCUGUGUACAGAUGCAAUGUGACACUUCCUGUCCCUGUCGGCUGUGUCCAGAUGCAAUGUGACCACUUCCUGUUCCUGUCUGCUGUGUACAGAUGCAAUGUGACCAGCCAGUCUGCUGCUCCCGCCACCAUGCUUUCCCUGCCACGAUAGACUGUAUUCCCCCAGACCAUGAGCCAGAAUAAAGCUUUUCACCCUUCA
Molecule: long non-coding RNA, 675 nt
Organism: Mesocricetus auratus (golden hamster)
Lineage: Eukaryota; Metazoa; Chordata; Mammalia; Rodentia; Cricetidae
Exons: 2
Source: RefSeq, a predicted model, not a curated record